GAUGAACGCUGGCGGCGUGCCUAAUACAUGCAAGUCGAGCGAACGGACGAGAAGCUUGCUUCUCUGAUGUUAGCGGCGGACGGGUGAGUAACACGUGGAUAACCUACCUAUAAGACUGGGAUAACUUCGGGAAACCGGAGCUAAUACCGGAUAAUAUUUUGAACCGCAUGGUUCAAAAGUGAAAGACGGUCUUGCUGUCACUUAUAGAUGGAUCCGCGCUGCAUUAGCUAGUUGGUAAAGUAACGGCUUACCAAGGCAACGAUGCAUAGCCGACCUGAGAGGGUGAUCGGCCACACUGGAGCUGAGACACGGUCCAGACUCCUACGGGAGGCAGCAGUAGGGAAUCUUCCGCAAUGGGCGAAAGCCUGACGGAGCAACGCCGCGUGAGUGAUGAAGGUCUUCGGAUCGUAAAACUCUGUUAUUAGGGAAGAACAUAUGUGUAAGUAACUGUGCACAUCUUGACGGUACCUAAUCAGAAAGCCACGGCUAACUACGUGCCAGCAGCCGCGGUAAUACGUAGGUGGCAAGCGUUAUCCGGAAUUAUUGGGCGUAAAGCGCGCGUAGGCGGUUUUUUAAGUCUGAUGUGAAAGCCCACGGCUCAACCGUGGAGGGUCAUUGGAAACUGGAAAACUUGAGUGCAGAAGAGGAAAGUGGAAUUCCAUGUGUAGCGGUGAAAUGCGCAGAGAUAUGGAGGAACACCAGUGGCGAAGGCGACUUUCUGGUCUGUAACUGACGCUGAUGUGCGAAAGCGUGGGGAUCAAACAGGAUUAGAUACCCUGGUAGUCCACGCCGUAAACGAUGAGUGCUAAGUGUUAGGGGGUUUCCGCCCCUUAGUGCUGCAGCUAACGCAUUAAGCACUCCGCCUGGGGAGUACGACCGCAAGGUUGAAACUCAAAGGAAUUGACGGGGACCCGCACAAGCGGUGGAGCAUGUGGUUUAAUUCGAAGCAACGCGAAGAACCUUACCAAAUCUUGACAUCCUUUGACAACUCUAGAGAUAGAGCUUUCCCCUUCGGGGGACAAAGUGACAGGUGGUGCAUGGUUGUCGUCAGCUCGUGUCGUGAGAUGUUGGGUUAAGUCCCGCAACGAGCGCAACCCUUAAGCUUAGUUGCCAUCAUUAAGUUGGGCACUCUAAGUUGACUGCCGGUGACAAACCGGAGGAAGGUGGGGAUGACGUCAAAUCAUCAUGCCCCUUAUGAUUUGGGCUACACACGUGCUGCAAUGGACAAUACAAAGGGCAGCGAAACCGCGAGGUCAAGCAAAUCCCAUAAAGUUGUUCUCAGUUCGGAUUGUAGUCUGCAACUCGACUACAUGAAGCUGGAAUCGCUAGUAAUCGUAGAUCAGCAUGCUACGGUGAAUACGUUCCCGGGUCU
This 1372-nucleotide ribosomal RNA is filed under the name uncultured bacterium. RNAcentral's name for it is "bacterial SSU rRNA". It matches the Rfam family "Bacterial small subunit ribosomal RNA", at positions 28 to 1381 of the family's 1533-position model. The record is from RNAcentral.